RNAcentral lists this ribosomal RNA (515 nucleotides) under uncultured bacterium. RNAcentral's name for it is "partial 16S ribosomal RNA". It matches the Rfam family "Bacterial small subunit ribosomal RNA", at positions 28 to 523 of the family's 1533-position model. The record is from RNAcentral.
GACGAACGCUGGCGGCGUGCCUAACACAUGCAAGUCGAACGGUGAAAUUCAGCAUGGAUUUCUUAGUGGCGAACGGGUGAGUAACGCGUAGACAACCUGCCUCUAAGCUGGGGACAACAACUCGAAAGGGUUGCUAAUACCGAAUGUGAACAGUGUCUCGCAUGAGAUGCUGUUUGAAGGUGGCCUCUGAAUAUGCUACCGCUUAGAGAUGGGUCUGCGUCUGAUUAGCUAGUUGGAGGGGUAACGGCCCACCAAGGCGACGAUCAGUAGCCGGUCUGAGAGGAUGAACGGCCACACUGGGACUGAAACACGGCCCAGACUCCUACGGGAGGCAGCAGUGGGGAAUCUUCCGCAAUGGACGAAAGUCUGACGGAGCAACGCCGCGUGAGUGAAGAAGGCCCUCGGGUCGUAAAGCUCUGUCUUCAGGGACGAAUGUGCAGAUUGUGAAUAAUGGUUUGUAAUGACGGUACCUGAGGAGGAAGCCACGGCUAACUACGUGCCAGCCGCCGCGGUAA